UACGGAGGAUCCAAGCGUUAUCCGGAAUCAUUGGGUUUAAAGGGUCCGUAGGCGGUCUUGUAAGUCAGUGGUGAAAGCCCAUCGCUCAACGGUGGAACGGCCAUUGAUACUGCAAGACUUGAAUUAUUGGGAAGUAACUAGAAUAUGUAGUGUAGCGGUGAAAUGCUUAGAGAUUACAUGGAAUACCAAUUGCGAAGGCAGGUUACUACCAAUAUAUUGACGCUGAGGCACGAAAGCGUGGGUAUCAAACAGG
Molecule: ribosomal RNA, 253 nt
Filed under: uncultured bacterium
Lineage: Bacteria
Description: partial 16S ribosomal RNA
Rfam family: Bacterial small subunit ribosomal RNA
Source: RNAcentral